CCCAGUGCUCUGAAUGUCAAA
This 21-nucleotide non-coding RNA is filed under the name Arabidopsis thaliana (thale cress). RNAcentral also lists the same sequence under 1 other name. Lineage: Eukaryota; Viridiplantae; Streptophyta; Magnoliopsida; Brassicales; Brassicaceae. The record is from RNAcentral.